GUCGAACGCUGGCGGCGUGCCUAAUACAUGCAAGUCGAGCGAAGCGGCGGUUGGGUGAGUAACGCGUGGGUAACCUGUCCUUAAGUAUGGCAUACCAUUUGGCAACAGAUGCUAAUACCGGAUACUAAAGGAUGGACCUGCGAUGCAUUAGCUAGUUGGUAAGGUAACGGCUUACCAAGGCGAUGAUGCAUAGCCGAGUUGAGAGACUGAUCGGCCACAGUGGGACUGAGACACGGCCCAGACUCCUACGGGAGGCAGCAGUAGGGAAUAUUGCACAAUGGACGAAAGUCUGAUGGAGCAACGCCGCGUGAGUGAAGAAGGUUUUCGGAUCGUAAAGCACUGUUGUUGGUGAAGCGGUAAUCAACCAGAAAGUCACGGCUAACUACGUGCCAGCAGCCGCGGUAAUAC
Molecule: ribosomal RNA, 408 nt
Filed under: uncultured bacterium
Lineage: Bacteria
Description: partial 16S ribosomal RNA
Rfam family: Bacterial small subunit ribosomal RNA
Source: RNAcentral